AUACGUAGGGGGCAAGCGUUGUCCGGAAUCACUGGGCGUAAAGCGCAUGUAGGCGGGAUAUUAAGUCAGGUGUGAAAACUAUGGGCUCAACCUGUAGAUUGCAUCUGAAACUGGUAUUCUUGAGUAUUGGAGAGGAAAGUGGAAUUCCUAGUGUAGCGGUGAAAUGCGUAGAUAUUAGGAGGAACACCAGUGGCGAAGGCGACUUUCUGGCCAAAAACUGACGCUGAGAUGCGAAAGCGUGGGGAGCAAACAGGAUUAGAUACCCUGGUAGUCCACGCCGUAAACGAUGGGUACUAGGUGUUGGGUGUCAAAGCUCAGUGCCGCAGUUAACACAAUAAGUACCCCGCCUGGGGAGUACGGUCGCAAGACUGAAACUCAAAUGAAUUGACGGGG
This 393-nucleotide ribosomal RNA is filed under the name uncultured bacterium. RNAcentral's name for it is "partial 16S ribosomal RNA". It matches the Rfam family "Bacterial small subunit ribosomal RNA", at positions 523 to 918 of the family's 1533-position model. The record is from RNAcentral.